UACGUAGGGCGCAAGCGUUGUCCGGAAUUAUUGGGCGUAAGAGCUCGUAGGCGGUCUGUCGCGUCUGCUGUGAAAACUCAGGGCUUAACCCUGAGCUUGCAGUGGGUACGGGCAGACGAGAGUGCGGUAGGGGAGAUCGGAAUUCCUGGUGUAGCGGUGAAAUGCGCAGAUAUCAGGAGGAACACCGGUGGCGAAGGCGGAUCUCUGGGCCGUAACUGACGCUGAGGAGCGGAAAGCAUGGGGAGCGAACAGG
This 253-nucleotide ribosomal RNA is filed under the name uncultured bacterium. RNAcentral's name for it is "partial 16S ribosomal RNA". It matches the Rfam family "Bacterial small subunit ribosomal RNA", at positions 524 to 776 of the family's 1533-position model. The record is from RNAcentral.